GUAGGUGACCUGCGGAGGAUCAUUAUUGAAUGAACCUUGGUAGGGGUUGUAGCUGGCCUCUCGGGGCAUGUGCACACCUUUGCCAUUGCUUCUUUCAUUUUCCACCUGUGCACCUUUUGUAGACCAGGGUUAGAGGAGGUUAGCUGCCUCCUUGUUAUAAAGUCCAGGUCUAUGCUAUUCUACAUACACUCUGAAUGUUUAUAGAAUGUCUCUACUCAGGCUUUUAUAGCCUUUAAACAAAUAUACAACUUUCAACAACGGAUCUCUUGGCUCUCGCAUCGAUGAAGAACGCAGCGAAAUGCGAUAAGUAAUGUGAAUUGCAGAAUUCAGUGAAUCAUCGAAUCUUUGAACGCACCUUGCGCUCCUUGGUACUCCGAGGAGCAUGCCUGUUUGAGUGUCAGUAAAUUCUCAAACCUCAUCAGUUUGUGAUUCAACUGGUUGGGGCCUUUGGAGUUGGGAGUUGCAGGCUACAAGCAAGUGGUCAGCUCUCCUCAAAUGCAUUAGUGGGGUUUAACUCAGUGUGAACCGCCUCUAUUGGUGUGAUAAUUAUCUACGCCAAGAGCAGCUUCACAGAGCAAAUGAGUCUUGCUCAUUGCUUUUGAUUGAGUCUCUGCUUCCUAAUCGUCUUCGGACAAUUUCUGACAAUUUUGACCUCAAAUCAGGUAGGACUACCCGCUGAACUUAAGCAUAUCAAUAAGCGGAGGAAAAGAAACUAACAAGGAUUCCCCUAGUAACUGCGAGUGAAGCGGGAAAAGCUCAAAUUU
RNAcentral lists this ribosomal RNA (764 nucleotides) under Amanita silvifuga. RNAcentral describes it as "eukaryotic LSU rRNA". The stretch from base 247 to 400 matches the Rfam family "5.8S ribosomal RNA". Lineage: Eukaryota; Fungi; Basidiomycota; Agaricomycetes; Agaricales; Amanitaceae. The record is from RNAcentral.